GUGGGGAAUAUUGGACAAUGGGCGCAAGCCUGAUCCAGCCAUGCCGCGUGAGUGAUGAAGGCCUUAGGGUUGUAAAGCUCUUUCAGUAGGGAAGAUAAUGACGGUACCUACAGAAGAAGCCCCGGCUAACUUCGUGCCAGCAGCCGCGGUAAUACGAAGGGGGCUAGCGUUGUUCGGAUUUACUGGGCGUAAAGCGCACGUAGGCGGAUUGGUCAGUUAGAGGUGAAAUCCCGAAGCUCAACUUCGGAACUGCCUUUAAUACUGCCAGUCUCGAGUCCGGAAGAGGUGAGUGGAACUCCUAGUGUAGAGGUGGAAUUCGUAGAUAUUCGGAGGAACACCAGUGGCGAAGGCGGCUCACUGGCUCGAUACUGACGCUGAGGUGCGAAAGCGUGGGGAGCAAACAGGAUUAGAAACCCCGGUAGUCC
RNAcentral lists this ribosomal RNA (425 nucleotides) under uncultured bacterium. Its description in RNAcentral is "partial 16S ribosomal RNA". It matches the Rfam family "Bacterial small subunit ribosomal RNA", at positions 354 to 796 of the family's 1533-position model. The record is from RNAcentral.